RNAcentral lists this ribosomal RNA (936 nucleotides) under Halomonas aidingensis. RNAcentral describes it as "bacterial SSU rRNA". It matches the Rfam family "Bacterial small subunit ribosomal RNA", at positions 156 to 1086 of the family's 1533-position model. The record is from RNAcentral. Lineage: Bacteria; Pseudomonadati; Pseudomonadota; Gammaproteobacteria; Oceanospirillales; Halomonadaceae.
ACCCAGGCUAAUACCGCAUACGUCCUACGGGAGAAAGCAGGGGCUCUUCGGACCUUGCGCUAUCGGAUGAGUCUAUGUCGGAUUAGCUGGUUGGUGAGGUAAUGGCUCACCAAGGCGACGAUCCGUAGCUGGUCUGAGAGGAUGAUCAGCCACAUCGGGACUGAGACACGGCCCGAACUCCUACGGGAGGCAGCAGUGGGGAAUAUUGGACAAUGGGCGCAAGCCUGAUCCAGCCAUGCCGCGUGUGUGAAGAAGGCCUUCGGGUUGUAAAGCACUUUCAGUGGGGAAGAAAGCCUUGGGGCUAAUACCCUCGAGGAAGGACAUCACCCACAGAAGAAGCACCGGCUAACUCCGUGCCAGCAGCCGCGGUAAUACGGAGGGUGCGAGCGUUAAUCGGAAUUACUGGGCGUAAAGCGCGCGUAGGCGGUCUGAUAAGCCGGUUGUGAAAGCCCCGGGCUCAACCUGGGAACGGCAUCCGGAACUGUCAGGCUAGAGUGCAGGAGAGGAAGGUAGAAUUCCCGGUGUAGCGGUGAAAUGCGUAGAGAUCGGGAGGAAUACCAGUGGCGAAGGCGGCCUUCUGGACUGACACUGACGCUGAGGUGCGAAAGCGUGGGUAGCAAACAGGAUUAGAUACCCUGGUAGUCCACGCCGUAAACGAUGUCGACUAGCCGUUGGGGUCCUUGAGACCUUUGUGGCGCAGUUAACGCGAUAAGUCGACCGCCUGGGGAGUACGGCCGCAAGGUUAAAACUCAAAUGAAUUGACGGGGGCCCGCACAAGCGGUGGAGCAUGUGGUUUAAUUCGAUGCAACGCGAAGAACCUUACCUACCCUUGACAUCGUGCGAACUUGGUAGAGAUACCUUGGUGCCUUCGGGAACGCACAGACAGGUGCUGCAUGGCUGUCGUCAGCUCGUGUUGUGAAAUGUUUGGGUUAAGUC